CAACUGCAACAAAAGUUAAAAUGGAAACAAAAUGUGAGUGCAUCAAAUGAAAAAGCUUCUCCACAGCAAAGGAAACCAUCAACAAAAUGAAAAGACAACCUACCGAUGGGAAAAGAUAUU
Molecule: non-coding RNA, 120 nt
Organism: Ceratotherium simum simum (southern white rhinoceros)
Lineage: Eukaryota; Metazoa; Chordata; Mammalia; Perissodactyla; Rhinocerotidae
Source: RefSeq, a predicted model, not a curated record